Molecule: ribosomal RNA, 419 nt
Filed under: uncultured bacterium
Lineage: Bacteria
Description: bacterial SSU rRNA
Rfam family: Bacterial small subunit ribosomal RNA
Source: RNAcentral
AGGAAUAUUGGACAAUGGGCGAGAGCCUGAUCCAGCCAUGCCGCGUGCAGGAAGCCGGCCCUAUGGGUUGUAAACUGCUUUUAUACAAAAAGAAACACCCUCUCGUGAGGGAGCUUGACGGUACUGUAGGAAUAAGGACCGGCUAACUCCGUGCCAGCAGCCGCGGUAAGACGGAGGACCCAAGAGUUAUCCGGAAUCAUUGGGUUUAAAGGGUCCGUAGGCGGGAUAAUAAGUCAGCGGUGAAAGUCUGUGGCUCAACCAUAGAAUUGCCAUUGAUACUGUUGUUCUUGAGUGUUUAUGAAGUGGUUAGAAUAUGUAGUGUAGCGGUGAAAUGCUUAGAUAUUACAUGGAAUACCGAUUGCGAAGGCAGAUCACUAAUAAAAUACUGACGCUGAUGGACGAAAGCGUAGGUAGCGAAC